Populus euphratica (Euphrates poplar) is the source of this 260-nucleotide long non-coding RNA. RefSeq lists it as uncharacterized. Lineage: Eukaryota; Viridiplantae; Streptophyta; Magnoliopsida; Malpighiales; Salicaceae. The record is from RefSeq and is a predicted model, not a curated record. The transcript is spliced from 2 exons.
UCCAUGCAAUUAGCAUUUGCUUUGUCAGCAGACAAUAAAACAAAAUCAGGAUUUACAACAAUUUUACUAGGUAAAUCAAAAUGCCACGUAUAGUUUAUCAAGCAGCUAACUAUUUAACUUAAUAAUGAUAUUAACCAAAUUUGUGAUCAAUUCUUACUGUAAACGCCCAUAAUGCAUUAAAUCAUGGCUGCCAUAAAUCUAAGAGUGUCUGGAUGAUUAAAUUAUAAUUUUGCACUUCCCUGAUCUCCCCAUCCCCAGGG